UAGGGAAUCUUCGGCAAUGGACGAAAGUCUGACCGAGCAACGCCGCGUGAGUGAAGAAGGUUUUCGGAUCGUAAAACUCUGUUGUUAGAGAAGAACAAGGACGUUAGUAACUGAACGUCCCCUGACGGUAUCUAACCAGAAAGCCACGGCUAACUACGUGCCAGCAGCCGCGGUAAUACGUAGGUGGCAAGCGUUGUCCGGAUUUAUUGGGCGUAAAGCGAGCGCAGGCGGUUUCUUAAGUCUGGUGUGAAAGCCCCCGGCUCAACCGGGGAGGGUCAUUGGAAACUGGGAGACUUGAGUGCGGAAGAGGAGGGUGGAAUUCCAUGUGUAGCGGUGAAAUGCGUAGAUAUAUGGAGGAACACCAGUGGCGAAGGCGGCUCUCUGGUCUGUAACUGACGCUGAGGCUCGAAAGCGUGGGGAGCAAACAGG
This 429-nucleotide ribosomal RNA is filed under the name Gemmatimonadota bacterium. RNAcentral describes it as "Gemmatimonadetes bacterium partial 16S ribosomal RNA". It matches the Rfam family "Bacterial small subunit ribosomal RNA", at positions 355 to 776 of the family's 1533-position model. The record is from RNAcentral. Lineage: Bacteria; Pseudomonadati; Gemmatimonadota.